RNAcentral lists this ribosomal RNA (301 nucleotides) under uncultured bacterium. RNAcentral describes it as "partial 16S ribosomal RNA". It matches the Rfam family "Bacterial small subunit ribosomal RNA", at positions 509 to 809 of the family's 1533-position model. The record is from RNAcentral.
CAGUCGCCGCGGUAAUACAGAGGGUGCGAGCGUUAAUCGGAUUUACUGGGCGUAAAGCGUGCGUAGGCGGCUUUUUAAGUCGGAUGUGAAAUCCCUGAGCUUAACUUAGGAAUUGCAUUCGAUACUGGGAAGCUAGAGUAUGGGAGAGGAUGGUAGAAUUCCAGGUGUAGCGGUGAAAUGCGUAGAGAUCUGGAGGAAUACCGAUGGCAAAGGCAGCCAUCUGGCCUAAUACUGACGCUGAGGUACGAAAGCAUGGGGAGCAAACAGGAUUAGAUACCCCGGUAGUCCCUGUCUCUUAUAA